Long non-coding RNA from Nelumbo nucifera (sacred lotus), 559 nucleotides. RefSeq lists it as uncharacterized. NCBI's taxonomy places the organism in Eukaryota, Viridiplantae, Streptophyta, Magnoliopsida, Proteales, Nelumbonaceae. The record is from RefSeq and is a predicted model, not a curated record.
AUCCAACGGUAGAUGAGAAAGACUGGAGUCUAAGAGAAUAUAUAAACAGCGGCGAUGGGAAAGAUUGGUGUAGUUAGGGUUUCAGAACGUGAAGGAAGGAAAUUUGGAGAAACGGGAAUGGGAGCUGAUCUAUUGAAAUCCUUAGGAAUGUGCGGGUUGGAAACGAAAACAGCAACCGCACUUGCUCCUACUCCUUAUCAGGGUUAGAGGGUUUGUGGUGUUGCUUCCAAUUCCGCCCAUUCCUAAGUCUUUCAAUUGUUCCUCCCUUUCCCUUCUUCUCCUCUUCGUUUCAGUUUCAGUUCGGUCACAAGCACAAAAUCAAUCUCAACAAGUUAAAGCUUCUUUAGAUUGUUUUCCAUAGAUAACAACGAUGACGAUCGAUCGAAAUAUGUUAAGAGUGGAGAGGAUGGAUGUUUCUCGUAGAUUUACCCUUUCAAUUUUCUUUGUUCUUCGUUUCCUCCCCUAAUUUUAUUGUUUGAUUUGACGUGGAUAGUUAAUCGUUUUACCUUGCUAAUAAUGAGGAAUUAUGGUGUUCGCUGGGAUAAGUGAUUCUACACUC